RNAcentral lists this ribosomal RNA (97 nucleotides) under Sapajus apella (tufted capuchin). RNAcentral also lists the same sequence under 1 other name. Lineage: Eukaryota; Metazoa; Chordata; Mammalia; Primates; Cebidae. The record is from RNAcentral.
GUCUACCACCAUACCACUCUGAACAUGCCCAAUCUCAUCUGAUCUCAGAGGCUAAGCAGAGUCAGGCCUGGUUAGUAUAAUACUGGGAUGGGAGAAA